Molecule: non-coding RNA, 123 nt
Organism: Gossypium hirsutum (cotton)
Lineage: Eukaryota; Viridiplantae; Streptophyta; Magnoliopsida; Malvales; Malvaceae
Source: Rfam
AAUAGGAGAAUGACAAAUUAAAAUUUUCCUUCUAAUAUUCAACUUUUUAUCCUAAAAAAAGUUCAAAUCCAAUUAAAAAUGAUAAAAAUCAGGAGGAAAAAUCUGAUUUAUCAUUCUCUUAUU